CUUUAGCCCCGAUUGCAGUGAAAAUCCUUUGAGAGGAACAACAAAGAUUGAAGCUAAAAGCGGGAACUAUA
This 71-nucleotide small RNA is filed under the name Flavobacterium glaciei. RNAcentral's name for it is "Flavo-1 RNA". It matches the Rfam family "Flavo-1 RNA". Lineage: Bacteria; Pseudomonadati; Bacteroidota; Flavobacteriia; Flavobacteriales; Flavobacteriaceae. The record is from RNAcentral.